Molecule: ribosomal RNA, 435 nt
Filed under: Triticum aestivum (bread wheat)
Lineage: Eukaryota; Viridiplantae; Streptophyta; Magnoliopsida; Poales; Poaceae
Description: partial small subunit ribosomal RNA
Source: RNAcentral
AUGACUAAAGACAACCUCAGAAAAAGGGGGAUUGACAAACCGCCAAGUUGUUUGUUUUGUUCUGAAGAGAAAAGUGUCCAUCACCUUUUCUUUGAAUGUGUAGUUGCUAAGGCAACAUGGAUCCAUGUUAAGAACUUUUUCAAACUCCCUCUUGGGACAGAUUACCUUUCUAUUGCCAAAUACUGGCCGGCUAGCAAAAAUCAUUCUGCUUUGAACUCCAUUUGCGCUUGUGUGCUAUGGUGUCUAUGGAAAACUAGGAAUGCACAUGUUUUUAACAACGCUAUCUGGUCUGACACAAAGCAGGUCUGGUGGCUGAUCCUUACAACCCUAAAGAAAUGGAGAAUCAUCUUCAAGCAUCAAGAGGAGAGGGUGGACGCUUUCUCGAAAAUGCUCCCAGAACAAAUCAAGAAGCCAUACUGCUUGCCAGUGGGGUGA